Molecule: ribosomal RNA, 253 nt
Filed under: uncultured bacterium
Lineage: Bacteria
Description: partial 16S ribosomal RNA
Rfam family: Bacterial small subunit ribosomal RNA
Source: RNAcentral
GACGGGGGAGGCAAGCGAUAUCCGGAAUUAUUGGGCGUAAAGCGUCCGCAGGUGGCGAUUCAAGUCUGCUGUAAAAGGUCGGGGCUUAACCCCGGGAAGGCAGUGGAAACUGAAUAGCUAGAGUGCGGUAGGGGCAGAGGGAAUUCCCGGUGUAGCGGUGAAAUGCGUAGAGAUCGGGAAGAACACCAGUGGCGAAAGCGCUCUGCUGGGCCUGCACUGACACUGAGGGACGAAAGCUAGGUGAGCGAAAGGG